Small nuclear RNA from Bison bison bison, 129 nucleotides. The record is from Ensembl. Lineage: Eukaryota; Metazoa; Chordata; Mammalia; Artiodactyla; Bovidae.
GUGUUUAAUGAAACUGAAGAAUUAGGUUAGCAUUCCCUUUAACAAGAAUGGGAAAAAUUCUAGUGAUGGAUGCCAUAUCCAUAUGUUUAAGGCAUCACACCUCUUUAUAGCCAGCUAACACUAUUUUUA